Molecule: unclassified non-coding RNA, 404 nt
Filed under: soil metagenome
Description: partial contains 5.8S ribosomal RNA, internal transcribed spacer 2, and large subunit ribosomal RNA
Rfam family: 5.8S ribosomal RNA (bases 1-121)
Source: RNAcentral
GAUGAAGAACUCAGCGAAAUGCGAUAAGUAAUGUGAAUUGCAGAAUUCAGUGAAUCAUCGAAUCUUUGAACGCACCUUGCGCCCUUUGGCUAUUCCAGAGGGCAUGCCUGUUUGAGUAUCAUGAACACCUCAACUCUCAUGGUUCUGCCAUGAUGAGCUUGGACUUUGGAGGUCUUGCUGGCCCCUGUGGUCAGCUCCUCUCAAAUGGAUCAGCUUGCCAGUGUUUGGUGGCAUCACAGGUGUGAUAACUAUCUACGCUUGUGGUUUUCCACCAGGUAACCUUCAGUGAUGGAGGUUCGCUGGAGCUCAUAAACGUCUCUCCUCAGCGAGGACAGCUUCUUGAACGUUUGAUCUCAAAUCAGGUAGGGCUACCCGCUGAACUUAAGCAUAUCAAUAACGGAGGA